RNAcentral lists this non-coding RNA (30 nucleotides) under Mus musculus (house mouse). Lineage: Eukaryota; Metazoa; Chordata; Mammalia; Rodentia; Muridae. The record is from RNAcentral.
UGGUGUCCCAAAACUAUAUAAAUGUUUUUU